GGGGCAGGGAAAAGGGACUCUCUUGCUUCCAGGAAGAAAGGGUAUUUCUUUCCGGUGGAAGGCAGAGGGGGUCUGUCCACCAUUGUUCUCCAUUGUCCCAGGCUUGGCCCAGAAUUAAUCUUUGAAGAGCUUCAAAUGCUGUAUCUCAAGGUUCUAUCCAGAACUGAGAGUAGACAUCAGUUAUAGAGAGCCCUACUCGGUUUUUUUUCUGGAUUUUUUUGGUGGUGAGGACGGAAGAGCACUGAUGGGAGAAGAUAUACUCUACAAUUUUUCCAUUUCAUAUGGAAAGUCUCGUGUUUGUCAUCUGUUUGCUAAUGUU
Lepidothrix coronata (blue-crowned manakin) is the source of this 319-nucleotide long non-coding RNA. RefSeq lists it as uncharacterized. The record is from RefSeq and is a predicted model, not a curated record. NCBI's taxonomy places the organism in Eukaryota, Metazoa, Chordata, Aves, Passeriformes, Pipridae. The transcript has 3 exons.